GUUGGACCUAAAAUAAAACUGAAACCGGAGAUAACUCUACAGAAAUAGACGCCGUUAUCUUCAUGCAUAAUAAUUUCCCAAUAAUAACACUAUUUAAAACCUGCCAUCUCCAUAACUACACAAUUUGAUAAACAAACGAAUACACAGUUAAGGGUCUUCUAGUACAAAUUCUGAAAAGAAGAGGAUGCUGAAAGGAAGACGUUGUUCUGCUGCAAGGUAUCUAUGCAAUCUGAUCAGUGAUCACCAGGGAGGGUCUUGAUGAUAUCAGAAUCACCUGGGUCAAUUAUGCUCAGGCAAGAGACACGGAAAUACUUGCCACAAGCAGUUCCCAAGUCGAUAUUGUUUCCAUUGUAAUGGUGGACGCCAACCUUUGCAAGCAUGGCAUAAUACUCAAUCUCGGAUUUUCUAAGCGGUGGGCAAUUGUUUGAAAUUAUAAUGAGUUUUCCUGCCCAGAAAAAAUCCCAAAAUUAAAACUUCCAAAAAUAAAAUCGAACUGAAAUAGCAACCAAAAAAAUUCUUUACAAAAUUAAUAAAAAGGACCUUUAGAACUUCUGAGAGAGCGAAGCACGGUUUUGUAGCCGAGAGUGAACCUUCCACUCUUCAUCACCAGAGCAAGCCUGUUGUUGACGCUCUCAUGGGUCUUCUUAGUUUUCUUGCCAACAGCCAUUUUCGCAGUGAAAGAAAGCUGAAAUCUUUGAGUUGUUAGGGAUUUUCUUCAGUGAGAGUCCUGCCGCC
This 735-nucleotide unclassified non-coding RNA is filed under the name Hevea brasiliensis (rubber tree). Lineage: Eukaryota; Viridiplantae; Streptophyta; Magnoliopsida; Malpighiales; Euphorbiaceae. The record is from RNAcentral.